UUAAAUAACCGAUCUUAAAAGUACUUUUAAGAUCGGUUAAAUUUUAACUGAUCUUAAAAGUGCUACUUUUAAAAUCGAUUAUUUCA
RNAcentral lists this microRNA precursor (86 nucleotides) under Cajanus cajan (pigeon pea). Its description in RNAcentral is "miRNA gene-KK1_042477". Lineage: Eukaryota; Viridiplantae; Streptophyta; Magnoliopsida; Fabales; Fabaceae. The record is from RNAcentral.